Molecule: long non-coding RNA, 2582 nt
Organism: Siniperca chuatsi (mandarin fish)
Lineage: Eukaryota; Metazoa; Chordata; Actinopteri; Centrarchiformes; Sinipercidae
Exons: 4
Source: RefSeq, a predicted model, not a curated record
CUUUGGCCUGCUCAUUCAUUCUCAAAGCAUGAAAUAACCAGUCCACUCAGCCUCUCAAACAUUUUGAGCUGAAUGCAGUCACAACUGUGACAGAGAUUAUUGUCAAAAACAGCUGAAAGGCCUCACACACCUCAGUGGAAGUAAAAGUUUACAGUGAAAGUGAAUGCAGAAGUCACCACUGGAGGAUCCACCAUGAGCAUUUUUAGGAUUUAGCAUUUUAGCCAGACCCAGCACGCACCUGUUGGUCAUGCAACAUCGUGGGUGUGUUUGAUUUGGGUCACUUAGUGCUCAUCAGGGGGUGGUCGCACAUGGGAGAAGUUUGCCCUCAGGACUUUCUGCCAGAAAGACUUUCUGCCCGACACAUACUUUUUUUAACAAUGUUGAGGUACAAUAAUGCUAACCUUAACCCAUAAUGAUGUAAUUCUUUAUUAUAUUGCAUUGUUGUACCUUUCACAAACUGUUAAGCCCAGCCCGCUUGCGACUGCACAUCUGACCCAUCCUGACCCUUGGCCAGUGAGUGCAAACAUUCAACAUGCAUCUUUUCCACAGUGUCAGCUGAGUGCAGAGUCUCACUUGCCUAAUAUCAGACAGAUUGUCAACUCAUUACACUCCAUUUGCAGUCAACUUGGUGGAGUGGGUGGAUUCAAAGGUCUGGACCAAGGCAGGAGUGUCACGGCUCCUUUCUUGUUCCAUUAUCACACGGUUUAUCAUGACAUUUCAUGUGACUUUUGUUUUAGGGAGGUGGGGAGGGGUAGCAGCAGAAUAGUUCUAUAAAACCUUGUUAAAGAGAUAAAUAAGAUGAGUGCUGAUACCUGGAGUAGGUUUAAAUUUUUAUGGUCUCCUUGUCCUGCUCAGCUUUGCCGUAUUUAAAAGACCUACAGAAAAUUAAAUUUUCCUUCCUUUAAUGCUCCAGGAUUCUCCUACACUCCUGCUUCUGUUUGUUAUGCAUUGAUUCACUUUCAACCUAUAACCCAUUUCAAACCAUUUCUGCACUGAUCUAGCUUGUUGCCUCCCUAAUUUCUGUGUUGUUUUUCACCCAUCAGUUAUGUAGUUUUGUUACAAGGGUAAAGGUUAUUAUGUAUGUAUGCAUUUAAAAACUUAAAAACAUACCUUCAGUGUUUUGGAGAGAACAGAGAAGAUUUGCAGGGAAACAGCAAAAACAACUCAUUACACAACAGCUGGGCUCAGGAGCUGACAGGAACAGGAGCAAGGCGUCUAUCAGUAUCCGUGGUGAUGGAUGUUUCCUGUGAGCGGUGCUUCCUCUGUUCUAGAUAACGAGGAGGAACAAGCCGCACUGGCAACACAGCAGGGGACAUUGUCGAAUGUGAGGCUCCUCCCGCAACUUUGCCUCGUUUUGAGCAUUUCGCCGCAGAGUUCCGUGGAUCCAGUGUGGAUGCCAAGCUAAAAGUUUGCCUCGCCCGCCUUCAGCUAGAGACAGAGGAAAAGCAGAUGAGUUUCAGUAUCACCAUGAGACAUUAUCCUGGCCACCCUCACUUCCACAUGGGGAUCAGCAGUUUCCUGAUGCUGUUAUGACUACAUCCAAAAGUCAGCCUGAGGUCCAACCAGCUGUCAUCUCUCUCCAGUCCAGAGGUUGUAAAACUGCCAGCCACCCUGGAAGAAUUCAUCGCAGCACAACAAGGUGAUAUCAGCCUUUCAAAAUAUCACUCCUGUGUUCUUAGCCAGGAAGAAGAAAAUGGCCUACGUUUUUGAUGAUAGCUUGUUGAUGCGUUACUGGACUAGUGAAGUCUCAGAGGAUGUGGACUGGAGUGUGACUUACCAGGCUAUCAUUCUCAGGUGCUGUCCUUAGUUCAUGACCACACAUGGUCAGGACACAUGGGGGUCACAAAAACCUAUGACAAGUCCUCAAACAUUUCUUUUGGCCAGGACUGUUGUUGUUCAUCAUUUUCGAACCUGCCAUGUGUGUCAAGUUGCAGGCAAACCUAAUCAAGUGGUUCUCCCUGCUCUUCUUUGCCCCAUUCCAGUAAUGGGUGAGGCAUUUGAAAGAGUAAUUGUUGACUGUGUGGGACUGUUGCCAAAGACUAAAGCUGGGAAUCAGUGAAACCAAUUACGCUAUCCAAACCCGUGACCACAGGCGACGCACCAGAGUGUCAUGUCAACAUGAUGUAGUUGUAUCGCUCCCGAGAAGAUUGAAACAGGUCAUCCACAACCCAUGAUGUGAAGACUGCUGUCUCACCUAUGGCUUCCCUUUCAAAAGUGAGCUCUCCUGAUGAUGGUGGUGGUGAUGAUGAUGAGUUGGUGAUGCGUAAUGCUACACCACAGAGGGCAAGGCUAAGUAAUACUGAGGUAUUGUCCAGUUUGCCCCACUACUUGUCUCAUCUCCCAGCAUGAUGACUUUAAGAAACACAUGUGACUUCCCGUGGCAUUCCCUUCCAAACUUCUGUCAUAACUCAUGACAUUAUUCUGACUAACCCUAUACCAAUCAAGCAGCAUGCCUAUUGGGUUAAUCCAGUUAAGAGGGAAGUCAUGAAGAAAGAGGUUGACUAUCUUGUGCAAACAUCGUAGAAAAGGUUUUAAUCAUAGUCAUCUGGACACUGUUUUCAGAAUCAAGACGUUUCGGCUCC